This 253-nucleotide ribosomal RNA is filed under the name uncultured bacterium. RNAcentral describes it as "partial 16S ribosomal RNA". It matches the Rfam family "Bacterial small subunit ribosomal RNA", at positions 524 to 776 of the family's 1533-position model. The record is from RNAcentral.
UACGUAGGGUGCGAGCGUUAAUCGGAAUCACUGGGCGUAAAGGGCGCGUAGGCGGCUUGAUAAGGUUGCGGUGAAAGCCCGGGGCUCAACCCCGGGUCGGCCGUGGCAACUGUCGAGCUGGAGCACUGUAGAGGCAGGUGGAAUUCCGGGUGUAGCGGUGGAAUGCGUAGAGAUCCGGAAGAACACCGGUGGCGAAGGCGGCCUGCUGGGCAGUGGCUGACGCUGAGGCGCGACAGCGUGGGGAGCAAACAGG